GGGUGCGAUCAUACCAGCACUAAUUCACCGCAUCCCAUCAGAACUCCGAAGUUAAACGUGCUUGGGCGAGAGUAGUACUAAGAUGGGUGACCUCUUGGGAAGUCCUCGUGUUGCAUCCU
RNAcentral lists this ribosomal RNA (119 nucleotides) under Ricinus communis (castor bean). Lineage: Eukaryota; Viridiplantae; Streptophyta; Magnoliopsida; Malpighiales; Euphorbiaceae. The record is from RNAcentral.